GACGAACGCUGGCGGCGUGCUUAACACAUGCAAGUCGAACGGAAAGGCCCUGCUUUUGUGGGGUGCUCGAGUGGCGAACGGGUGAGUAACACGUGAGUAACCUGCCCUUGACUUUGGGAUAACUUCAGGAAACUGGGGCUAAUACCGGAUAGGAGCUCCUGCUGCAUGGUGGGGGUUGGAAAGUUUCGGCGGUUGGGGAUGGACUCGCGGCCUAUCAUCUUGUUGGUGGGGUAGUGGCUUACCAAGGCUUUGACGGGUAGCCGGCCUGAGAGGGUGACCGGCCACAUUGGGGCUGAGAUACGGCCCAGACUCCUACGGGAGGCAGCAGUGGGGAAUAUUGCACGAUGGGCGGAAGCCUGAUGCAGCAACGCCGCGUGCGGGAUGACGGCCUUCGGGUUGUAAACCGCUUUCGCCUGUGACGAAGCGUGAGUGACGGUAAUGGGUAAAGAAGCACCGGCUAACUACGUG
Molecule: ribosomal RNA, 468 nt
Filed under: uncultured bacterium
Lineage: Bacteria
Description: partial 16S ribosomal RNA
Rfam family: Bacterial small subunit ribosomal RNA
Source: RNAcentral